Molecule: ribosomal RNA, 502 nt
Filed under: uncultured bacterium
Lineage: Bacteria
Description: partial 16S ribosomal RNA
Rfam family: Bacterial small subunit ribosomal RNA
Source: RNAcentral
AUUGAACGCUGGCAGCAGGCUUAACACAUGCAAGUCGAGCGGGGUGAUGGUGCUUGCACUAUCACUUAGCGGCGGACGGGUGAGUAAUGCUUAGGAAUCUGCCUAUUAGUGGGGGACAACAUCUCGAAAGGGAUGCUAAUACCGCAUACGUCCUACGGGAGAAAGCAGGGGAUCACUUGUGACCUUGCGCUAAUAGAUGAGCCUAAGUCGGAUUAGCUAGUUGGUGGGGUAAAGGCCUACCAAGGCGACGAUCUGUAGCGGGUCUGAGAGGAUGAUCCGCCACACUGGGACUGAGACACGGCCCAGACUCCUACGGGAGGCAGCAGUGGGGAAUAUUGGACAAUGGGGGGAACCCUGAUCCAGCCAUGCCGCGUGUGUGAAGAAGGCCUUAUGGUUGUAAAGCACUUUAAGCGAGGAGGAGGCUCUUUUGGUUAUACCCAAGAUGAGUGGACGUUACUCGCAGAAUAAGCACCGGCUAACUCUGUGCCAGCCGCCGCAGUAA